RNAcentral lists this ribosomal RNA (445 nucleotides) under uncultured bacterium. RNAcentral describes it as "partial 16S ribosomal RNA". It matches the Rfam family "Bacterial small subunit ribosomal RNA", at positions 354 to 796 of the family's 1533-position model. The record is from RNAcentral.
GUAGGGAAUAUUGGGCAAUGGACGAAAGUCUGAACCAGCCAUUCCGCGUGCAGGAAGAAGAUUCUAUGGAUUGUAAACUGCUUUUAGCAGAGAAGAAACGCCUUCAUUGAUGAGGGUUUGACGGUAUCUGCGGAAUAAGCACCGGCUAACUCCGUGCCAGCAGCCGCGGUAAUACGGGGGGUGCAAGCGUUAUCCGGAAUCACUGGGUUUAAAGGGUGCGUAGGCGGGAAAUUAAGUCAGUGGUGAAAGUCUGUUGCUUAACGAUAGAAUUGCCGUUGAUACUGAUUUUCUUGAAUUGGGUUGAGGUUAGCGGAAUGUGACAUGUAGCGGUGAAAUGCAUAGAUAUGUCAUGGAACACCAAUUGCGAAGGCAGCUAGCUGGGCCUUGAUUGACGCUGAGGCACGAAAGCGUGGGUAGCGAACAGGAUUAGAUACCCCUGUAGUCC